UCAUCUCUUUCAACAAGAGAGACAACACGAUGGUCUAAGCAAAUUUCACUGCUUCUGGAGAGCAGUAAAUUGGAGAUAAAAUAUCUCUUGGAAUGGAAGGGAACCAUGGAGAAAGGAAUUACUGACCUUGAAUCAUGGAAAGGUAC
Long non-coding RNA from Coffea arabica (coffee), 146 nucleotides. RefSeq lists it as uncharacterized. The record is from RefSeq and is a predicted model, not a curated record. NCBI's taxonomy places the organism in Eukaryota, Viridiplantae, Streptophyta, Magnoliopsida, Gentianales, Rubiaceae.